This 490-nucleotide ribosomal RNA is filed under the name uncultured bacterium. Its description in RNAcentral is "partial 16S ribosomal RNA". It matches the Rfam family "Bacterial small subunit ribosomal RNA", at positions 28 to 507 of the family's 1533-position model. The record is from RNAcentral.
GAUGAACGCUAGCUACAGGCUUAACACAUGCAAGUCGCGGGGCAGCAUGGGGGUUGCUUGCAAUCCCCGAUGGCGACCGGCGCACGGGUGAGUAACGCGUAUCCAACCUGCCCUUCACCACGGGAUAACCCGGCGAAAGUCGGACUAAUACCGUAUGUUGUCCAUUGACGGCGUCCGAUUUGGACGAACGGUUUGGCGGUGAAGGAUGGGGAUGCGUCCGAUUAGCUGGACGGCGGGGUGACGGCCCACCGUGGCGACGAUCGGUAGGGGUUCUGAGAGGAAGGUCCCCCACACUGGAACUGAGACACGGUCCAGACUCCUACGGGAGGCAGCAGUGAGGAAUAUUGGUCAAUGGGCGUAAGCCUGAACCAGCCAAGUAGCGUGCAGGAUGACGGCCCUAUGGGUUGUAAACUGCUUUUAUGCGGGGAUAAAGUGGCCCACGUGUGGGUUUUUGCAGGUACCGCAUGAAUAAGGACCGGCUAAUUCCGUG